RNAcentral lists this microRNA precursor (99 nucleotides) under Petromyzon marinus (sea lamprey). Its description in RNAcentral is "microRNA pma-mir-301a precursor". Its record names the gene pma-mir-301a. The stretch from base 12 to 94 matches the Rfam family "mir-301 microRNA precursor family". Lineage: Eukaryota; Metazoa; Chordata; Hyperoartia; Petromyzontiformes; Petromyzontidae. The record is from miRBase by way of RNAcentral.
AACUUGCAAGCCCCUGCUGGAGGCUCUGACACCAUUGCACUACUGUACGCAAUGGUGAGCAGUGCAAUUGUAUUGUCAAAGCUUCCGUCGGUGAGCCCA